GAAAUGCGAUAAGUAAUGUGAAUUGCAGAAUUCAGUGAAUCAUCGAAUCUUUGAACGCACAUUGCGCCCGGCAGCAAUCUGCCGGGCAUGCCUGUCCGAGCGUCAUUUCUGCCCUCGAGCGCGGUUCGGCCCCUAGCGGGCCGGCCGCCGCCCGGUGUUGGGGCGCUGCGGGCCCUCGUGCCCGCAGGCCCUGAAAUGAAGUGGCGGUCCCGCCGCGGCUCCCCCUGCGUAGUAGUAAAGCACCUCGCAUCGGGUCCCGGCGGAGGCCAGCCGUCGAACCUCUCUUUUGAUGGUUUGACCUCGGAUCAGGUAGGGUUACCCGCUGAACUUAAGC
RNAcentral lists this unclassified non-coding RNA (334 nucleotides) under plant metagenome. Its description in RNAcentral is "partial contains 5.8S ribosomal RNA, internal transcribed spacer 2, and large subunit ribosomal RNA". The stretch from base 1 to 105 matches the Rfam family "5.8S ribosomal RNA", at positions 50 to 154 of the family's 154-position model. The record is from RNAcentral.